This 355-nucleotide ribosomal RNA is filed under the name Eukaryota sp. RNAcentral's name for it is "SSU rRNA". It matches the Rfam family "Eukaryotic small subunit ribosomal RNA", at positions 1325 to 1699 of the family's 1831-position model. The record is from RNAcentral.
CCGUUAACGAACGAGACCUCGACCUGCUAAAUAGUUCGGCGAAUUCUUCGGGAUUCGUUCGAGCUUCUUGGAGGGACUAUCGGUGUGUAGCCGAUGGAAGUUCGAGGCAAUAACAGGUCUGUGAUGCCCUUAGAUGCCCUGGGCCGCACGCGCGCUACACUGAUACGUUCAUCGAGCUUACAACCUUGGUUGAGAGGCCUGGGUAAUCUUUAAAACCGUAUCGUGCUGGGGAUAGAUUAUUGUAAUUUUUAAUCUUCAACGAGGAAUUCCUAGUAAACGCGAGUCAUCAACUCGCAUUGAUUACGUCCCUGCCCUUUGUACACACCGCCCGUCGCUAAUACCGAUUGAAUGGUUG